RNAcentral lists this ribosomal RNA (253 nucleotides) under uncultured bacterium. RNAcentral describes it as "partial 16S ribosomal RNA". It matches the Rfam family "Bacterial small subunit ribosomal RNA", at positions 524 to 776 of the family's 1533-position model. The record is from RNAcentral.
GACAGAGGAGCCAAGCGUUGUCCGGAAUUACUGGGCGUAAAGGGCGCGUAGGCGGCAUGGCAAGUCGGGAGUGAAAGCCCGGGGCUCAACCCCGGAACGGCUUUCGAAACUGCCAAGCUAGAGUACGGAAGGGGCAACUGGAAUUCCCAGUGUAGCGGUGAAAUGCGUAGAUAUUGGGAAGAACACCGGAGGCGAAGGCGGGUUGCUGGGCCGAUACUGACGCUGAGGCGCGAAAGCCAGGGGAGCAAACGGG